Globicephala melas (long-finned pilot whale) is the source of this 2446-nucleotide long non-coding RNA. RefSeq lists it as uncharacterized. The record is from RefSeq and is a predicted model, not a curated record. Lineage: Eukaryota; Metazoa; Chordata; Mammalia; Artiodactyla; Delphinidae.
UAGGUGGAGGGGGCGUGGGGGGAUGAGGUCAGACUUGGACCUGGUGAGCUGGAGGUGGUGGCAGGCCAGCCAGGGGAGAGAAUACGAUAAUCAACAGCUAGCUACGGUCCCGAGAUGGUGCAGGGGAUGCCAGACACUGUGCUAGGCACUUUUCUCAGAUGAUUUAUGUCACCCUCACGAUAAACCCAUGAGGAUCCACAGGGUGUGUGCCAGAGGGGGGCUGACCUGCCUGCCCCUAGGGCACCCCUGGGCCUACCUUGUCCAGGAGCUUGUCCAUCUCUUCCUUCCUCGCCAGCUCUGACUCCUCUAGAACCCGGCGCUGUGCCGUCUCCUUUUUCAGGAACUCAAUCUCCCUGGGUACCAGUGGGAGACAGACAGUGGGCUCUGCAGCUGAGAGGAAGAAACACCCCUGGGUUGGCGGGGGCCAGAGUCGCUGGAUGAUUCCCGCAGAUACGGAGCCCACUGCCCCCCAGCUACUGACUCUCCUUGGCUGGGCCUGAGAACCGAAUGCUGGAGAGGGACGAGGUGGGACCACAACCUCAGCCUUCCCAGCCAGGGGCCCUGACACGUGCCACACUCCUAGAAGGCCGGAGGCCCAGGAUCAUCGCUGAUUAGCUCGGGGCCUUGGGAUGUCACGUGUGUGCACCAACUGGUAGCAUCAGCAUCUCUGUGAGAAUGCGCACGUCCUGUGACACUCUUCUUGUGUCUCACAGCGGACGGACACAGCAGACGGACACAGAGGUAUUGCCAUGUGAAGCAUGGGUCCGUUGUCCCCGUGUUAUGUCUGAGCAGAGUGGGUGUCUCUAGGUGUCUGGGUGAGUGAGUCUGUGGGUACCACGUGCCUGGACCCCUGGAUGGUUUACGUUUACCGCUGGGCUUGUGUGUAGAGGACACGUGUGGGACUGCGUGAACGUGAAGACAUCCACGUUCAGCUGUUAGAAUGCUGACGGCUAACAGCACAACUUUUUACUGAGCACCUACUAUGUGUCAGACACUGUACUAAGGACUUUACGCGUAUUAUUCUAUUUUAUCCUCACAGUGAUCCUACGGUGUUGGCACUGUUAUCAACCCGUUUUACAGGUGAGGAGAAUGAGACCCAGAGCAGCAAGUGAGUGGUGGAGAGAUGGGUCCAGAGCUUGUGCUCUUAACGCUACCCUCCCUCACCUCAGAGCGGCUGGUUCUGCACGCACCUGUGGGUGGAGGGCAAGGGCCAGCGUGUGCAGUGUGAGGGUGGAGGGGUCGUUCCCCCAGCGCCCCACCCCCACUCCCCGCCGCUCUUACCUUUCUUUUCAGCUGCUGGAUCUCCGCCUCGGUCACGGCAUGCUUGAUCUGGAGCUGUGGGGGCAGGGGCACAGGCACUCAGCUCGGGCUGGGGCAGGCAGUACUGCGGGGCUGGAUACCAGCCUGCCCUUGCCUUCCACCAGCCCAGGGACCCCUCUGCCCACCUCCUUGAACUUGUGCACCAGCUUCUCAGGCUCCAUGUCCACAGGGGACAAGGCAUCCUCGUUCUCUGCCAGCUCGAACACCUCGAUGGCCAUCUCGCCACCUGGAAACGUGGGGCUCAGCUCCUCAUCCUCGUCAGUGGCGUAUUCUCCUGUCUGCGAAGGGAGACAGGCGGCUGUGCACCCUGCCCACCACAACCUCCCUCAGCCCUGAGGACUGGGGCCUAGGCCAGCAGCAGUCUGCCCAUGUCAGACUGGGGGCCACCCAGGGGUGUGGUUCACGCUGCCCUCAGCAGACUGGGGGUCACCCAGGGGCAUGGUUUGUGUCUACCCCCAACAGCCUGGAGAGUCCCCAGAAGACAGGGGUAAUUCCCCUGUGAGACUGAGGGCCCUGAAGAAACAGCCUCUGCUUUCCCCCUCACACAGCAGGUCCCCUGAGGUCUGGAACUGUCUCCUUCCUCAGACUAGGUCCCCUCAGAGUGGGGGCUCUUAGAGGGAACUACGUUUUUCUUGUAGGACCAGGAAGGCUUUCUGAAGACAGAGGGUGUGACUCUUCCAUCAGACUAGAGGUUCUUUAAGGGAAAGGUCUGCAUCGCCUCCCUCAGACUGGGGGCUCCCCCAGGAUAGGAGCGUUGCUCUGGGGUUCUUCACAAGGCCUGGAAAGUGGCAGAGGCAGAGGACGGCUAUAAUACUCCAUCAAGCCACCAGGGGGCGAUGACGCUGCCAGCCAGGCGGAGUCCCUACCUCCUCGUCAUCCUCCCCGUACUGGGCGUAUCUCUGCUCCAUCAUCUCCCGCUGCCAUCGCUCCUGUUCCAGGGUCUGCUGAAUUAGCUGGGCCACCUCACUCUGCUCACCCGGCCGCUCCCGGCCAAUCAUAAAUCUGCGGAGGCACCAGCAUCGUUCCCUUUGUCUCUGUCCUUGGCCGGAAAAUGCCACCAUCCUCCCCGCUGGUAUUCCCCUCUCCGCAUCCAGGUCCUCCCAGGGAGGUGAAAUGAAAGAACUGA